This 238-nucleotide ribosomal RNA is filed under the name uncultured bacterium. RNAcentral describes it as "partial 16S ribosomal RNA". It matches the Rfam family "Bacterial small subunit ribosomal RNA", at positions 15 to 236 of the family's 1533-position model. The record is from RNAcentral.
GAUCAUAGCUCAGGACGAACGCUGGCGGCGUGCUUAACACAUGCAAGUCGAACGAGAAUCUGCUGAAGGAGGAUUCGUCCAACGGAAGUAGAGGAAAGUGGCGGACGGGUGAGUAACGCGUGAGGAACCUACCUUGAAGAGGGGGACAACAGUUGGAAACGACUGCUAAUACCGCAUGAAGCAUAGGGGUCGCAUGAUUCUUAUGCCAAAGAUUUAUCGCUUCAAGAUGGCCUCGCGU